Molecule: ribosomal RNA, 236 nt
Filed under: uncultured bacterium
Lineage: Bacteria
Description: partial 16S ribosomal RNA
Rfam family: Bacterial small subunit ribosomal RNA
Source: RNAcentral
CGACGGGUGAGUAACACGUAUCCAACCUGCCGUCUACUCUUGGCCAGCCUUCUGAAAGGAAGAUUAAUCCAGGAUGGCAUCAUGAGUUCACAUGUCCGCAUGAUUAAAGGUAUUUUCCGGUAGACGAUGGGGAUGCGUUCCAUUAGAUAGUAGGCGGGGUAACGGCCCACCUAGUCAACGAUGGAUAGGGGUUCUGAGAGGAAGGUCCCCCACAUUGGAACUGAGACACGGUCCAA